UAUUUUAUCAUGGUAUUAAAUCAUGAAAGGAAGCGGUCUUCUGAAAACAUGAUUACAGCUCUUUUUGCAUUUUUAAUAUGCGAGGCUG
Molecule: long non-coding RNA, 88 nt
Organism: Sphaeramia orbicularis (orbiculate cardinalfish)
Lineage: Eukaryota; Metazoa; Chordata; Actinopteri; Kurtiformes; Apogonidae
Exons: 3
Source: RefSeq, a predicted model, not a curated record